GGGCCCGUAGCUCAGUCAGGACAGAGCGGCGGGCUUUUAACCCGUAGGUCCCGGGUUCGAAUCCCGGCGGGCCCGCCA
This 78-nucleotide transfer RNA is filed under the name Acidianus sp. Its description in RNAcentral is "tRNA-Lys". It matches the Rfam family "tRNA". Rfam says of the family: Transfer RNA (tRNA) molecules are approximately 80 nucleotides in length. Their secondary structure includes four short double-helical elements and three loops (D, anti-codon, and T loops). RNAcentral also lists the same sequence under 1 other name. Lineage: Archaea; Thermoproteati; Thermoproteota; Thermoprotei; Sulfolobales; Sulfolobaceae. The record is from RNAcentral.